AGUGGCGAACGGGUGAGUAAUAUAUCGGAACGUGCCCAGUCGUGGGGGAUAACGUAGCGAAAGUUACGCUAAUACCGCAUACGAUCUACGGAUGAAAGCGGGGGACCGUAAGGCCUCGCGCGAUUGGAGCGGCCGAUAUCAGAUUAGGUAGUUGGUGGGGUAAAGGCUCACCAAGCCAACGAUCUGUAGCAGUCUGAGAGGACGACCAGCCACACUGGAACUGAGACACGGUCCAGACUCCUACGGGAGGCAGCAGUGGGGAAUUUUGGACAAUGGACGCAAGUCUGAUCCAGCCAUUCCGCGUGCAGGAUGAAGGCCCUCGGGUUGUAAACUGCUUUUGUACGGGACGAAAAGGUCUCUAUUAAUACUAGGGGCUCAUGACGGUACCGUAAGAAUAAGCACCGGCUAACUACGUGCCAGCAGCCGCGGUAAUACGUAGGGUGCAAGCGUUAAUCGGAAUUACUGGGCGUAAAGCGUGCGCAGGCGGUUAUGUAAGACAGAGGUGAAAUCCCCGGGCUCAACCUGGGAACUGCCUUUGUGACUGCAUAGCUAGAGUACGGUAGAGGGGGAUGGAAUUCCGCGUGUAGCAGUGAAAUGCGUAGAUAUGCGGAGGAACACCGAUGGCGAAGGCAAUCCCCUGGACCUGUACUGACGCUCAUGCACGAAAGCGUGGGGAGCAAACAGGAUUAGAUACCCUGGU
This 700-nucleotide ribosomal RNA is filed under the name uncultured beta proteobacterium. Its description in RNAcentral is "bacterial SSU rRNA". It matches the Rfam family "Bacterial small subunit ribosomal RNA", at positions 94 to 791 of the family's 1533-position model. Lineage: Bacteria; Pseudomonadati; Pseudomonadota; Betaproteobacteria. The record is from RNAcentral.